Molecule: unclassified non-coding RNA, 250 nt
Filed under: plant metagenome
Description: partial contains small subunit ribosomal RNA, internal transcribed spacer 1, and 5.8S ribosomal RNA
Rfam family: 5.8S ribosomal RNA (bases 197-250)
Source: RNAcentral
GUAGGUGAACCUGCGGAGGGAUCAUUACCGAGUUCAUGCCCUUACGGGUAGAUCUCCCACCCUGUGUUAUUAUUACCUCUGUUGCUUUGGCGGGCCGUCAGAUCUCGGUCAGGCUACCGGCUUCGGCUGGUAAGCGCCCGCCAGAGGACCCCAAACCCUGAAUAUUAGUGUCGUCUGAGUACUAUAUAAUAGUUAAAACUUUCAACAACGGAUCUCUUGGUUCUGGCAUCGAUGAAGAACGCAGCAUCUG